UGUAAUUGCUCUUGUUUUUCUGUUAGGAACUAUCAAAAAGUUAUCAUUGAAAACACUUAAAAACUACUGCUUAAAACUAAAAUAUUAUUACAUAAAUAAACAUAUACUAAUUAAUUUAACAAAACAUAUCUAUUUACAAAAUAAUUCCGUUAAUAUUGUACGACUUUAAUAAUUAUCACAUUGCGUAGGUAGCCGUACCUACAUUCCACAGCCGAGCCGUUACUCUUCCGGUCGGAUGUUCGACACAAUCCUUCUGCCUUUGUAGCGAGAACACCUCGAUUACUCGUAUAUUUUUUAAAUACGUUUUUUUACUAAUUUUGUCUACGAUAUAAUAAUUUAUAGUGUUGUGUUAUCCCCAUUAAUUGGGGUUCACCCUUCGAGUUCAGCAACCGCAGGACCCACUACCGGUCCUGUACUUACCUGCACCGUUUCACCCUUCGA
This 441-nucleotide long non-coding RNA is filed under the name Pectinophora gossypiella (pink bollworm). Its description in RNAcentral is "uncharacterized LOC126370900". Lineage: Eukaryota; Metazoa; Arthropoda; Insecta; Lepidoptera; Gelechiidae. The record is from RNAcentral.